CCCCGGACUAACAAGAAGGAAAAUGUCAAUCAGUUUUUCUUUUGUUCUUUCCAGAUCCUGUUCAAGUGUACACUGAGCCAGCAGGUUCACCAGAAAGCUAUUGAGCCUUUGCAGGAACACAUUAUGCUGGGUGGAUUUCUUCUGGAUUGUUGCCAAGGGUUUUUUAUGCUUCUGUGUGGGCAUGGGAUUUGGCCAGUUCAAGAUGCGACAUAAUAAAGGAGACCUCAAGGCAAACACAUGCAGACAGCCUGCUCAGAGUGGAAAGGGCUGCAGAAGGAGGACUUACUGAACUCAGGACAGCAUCUCAUUUCUGCAUAUGCAAAAAGAAAAAGAAGAAGGAGAAGGAGAAGAAGAAAAUAACUCGCCGUCCCACACGAUAUCACAGGGUAUUGUGGCAUCAUCGCUGGGCUACUGUACACAGACAUGCUCUAGGAAGUGGCAAAUUCCCUUAGGAUUAUAACGUGCCACACGGCACAAAGGGAAAGAAGGGUCUGAACUUAGCUGAAGGAGGCCACUUACCAUGUCAUGAGUCACUCUGCGAAGAAGGCUACUUGUCAAAUAUCUGAAGCCUCCUGCCAGCAGCUACACAAAUGAAAUGCUGAACAUUCCCAUUAUACUGACUUCCUUAAAUUCUGCGCUUUAUCCUGUUGAAGAGAGUUAGAGAUGCUGAUGCUUGGUGGAAACACCCUCAGGAACAUGUCAGUGGCUGUGGUUAGCUGGACUCAGACCCGACCUGGCUGACAGAUGGAAAUAACUUUCCU
Molecule: long non-coding RNA, 761 nt
Organism: Chinchilla lanigera (long-tailed chinchilla)
Lineage: Eukaryota; Metazoa; Chordata; Mammalia; Rodentia; Chinchillidae
Exons: 6
Source: RefSeq, a predicted model, not a curated record